This is a long non-coding RNA of Hippopotamus amphibius kiboko, 2290 nucleotides long. RefSeq lists it as uncharacterized. The transcript is spliced from 4 exons. NCBI's taxonomy places the organism in Eukaryota, Metazoa, Chordata, Mammalia, Artiodactyla, Hippopotamidae. The record is from RefSeq and is a predicted model, not a curated record.
GCACAGCUCGGCCAGCACCAUCGCUGGGAGAGAAAGAAGAAACGUGCAGGAGAGGGAAGCGGGGUUCAAGCUGACCCAUCUCCUUCUACGGAGACGAUGCCAUAGUCCCUAAGAGAGGACGACAAGGCCACAGAAUCCAGCCUUUCUGCCUGAGGCCUAACCACACGAGGGCCCCACCCUUGUGAUGCCACAGGGAGAAUUUCGUGAGGUGCCCUCAGACCACCUGGUUGAACACAACAGGGCUUUCAGACACGCAGGUCUUGCCAGACCCCUCACCUCUGGGGUCAGAUUCUGGAGGUGGGCCUGGAAGCCUCCAGUUUUUCACUUUUGAUGCCAUCUUUAUUGAGCUUUAAUUUCCAUACCACACAUUCACCCAUCUUAAGUAUAAAGACCCCACCCUUUAGAGGUCAUCCCUCAUUCCCGGAGCCCCAGCACCAACCGGCCACUCUCUGUCUCUGCGGAUGUGCCUGUGUGGACAGCUCAUGUAAGUGGAAUCAACUCAUUGUCCUUGUGUGUCUGGCGUCUCUCACUGAGCACCGUGUUUUCGAGGUUCAUCCACACUGUAGCCUGUGUUGUUGCUUCACUGCUUUUCAUGGCUGAGUGACAUUCACCCUCUCUGCUUUUAACUCUAUAAUUUAUUGUGAAUUUCUGCCUGCACUGCACAGGGCUGAUCAGAAAUUCAUCUUCCGUCCUUCUUGGGGUGUAAACUGCACUUUUAACCAACAUCCAGGGGUCCUGUGCAGAGGCUGAAAGCCCAGCGCCACACAGGGCACAGUCCCCCUGUGUGACCAGAGCCCAGGAGGAAAGCAGAUAAUGUUGCCCAGAAAAGAAGCAAGCCUCUUACCUAAGCCAGCCCCUUGAAGAGGUCCGAGCCUGCCUGGUCUCUUGACCUGGGCAGGAGAGUGCAACUCCUGGCCUGAGUGUGAAGGACACCAGGAAGUAUCCAUGUGAGGUUCCCCUUUGCAGCUGCAGCCGUGGACGGGCAGAUGAGGUGCAGCAGGGCAACUCCGUCCUCACAGGACUUGAUCCAUGUGGUCUGGGGGCGACAGACAGCGGUUUGAUGAGGACCAGCCACACAUGGAGUGAACAGAAGCAGCUCUGGCCGCUUCAGGAAAGCACACCCCCUGGGAAGAAUCACUGAGUGCUUGCUCCAGGCACAACCCCAGCCCUGGACAGCAUGACAUUUGACAACCCGUGACUUUCCUGGGGUCUUUCCUUUCAUGUAGAGAAAAGCUGAGAAGAACUGCUUGUAUUAAAAAAGUGACACCUUUGUGUUCACCCCUCUCACCAGUACUGCGGACACCUUGUCCUCGUGGGCUCCACUCAGGGCAGUGGUUCUCCUGUUGCUGGAGGAUGGACGAGGCACAUGUGCAGAACUGUUCUGGUUCCACCCACAGCUGAUGUCCUGCUGCCUGGUGAAGCCACCUGCCCUAUCUCCUGUCCUUGCCCUGGGCUGGGAAAGGCAGGCAGUCUUGUGUUACGGGCAUGUGCCUGCUGUGGACUAAAUUGUGUCCUCAAAAUUCACAAGUUGUGUCCUCAACCCCAGGACCUCAGGAUGGGACUGUGUUUGGAGAUGAGGUCUUUAAAGAGGUGAUUAAAAUAAAAUGAGGACUUCCUAGGUGGCACAGUGGUUAAGAAUCCACCUGCCAAUGCAGGGGACAUGGGUUUGAGUCCCACUCUGGGAAGAUUCCACAUGCCACGGAGCAACUAAGCCCGUGAGCCACAGCUAUUGAGCCCGUGUGCUGCAACUAGUGAAGCCCACGUGCCUAGAGCCCAUGCUCUGCAGCAAGAGAAGCCAUUGCAAUGAGGAGUCCUCGCACCACAAUGAAGACUAGCCUCAACUCUCAGCAACUAGAGAAAGCCCGUGUGUAGCAACGAAGACCCAAUGCAGCCAAUAAUAAAUAAAAUAAUUAAACAAAAAAGUAAAAUGAAGCCACUAGGGUGGGCUGGUGCCGUUAUAGGAGGAGGAGAUUAGGACACAGACACACAGAGGGACGACCAUAUGAGGACACAUGGAGAAGACGGCUGUCCACACACCAAGGAGAGAGGCCUCAGGAGGAACCAGCCCUGCUUGACACCUUGCUCUGGAACUUCCAGCUUCCAAGACUGUGAGAAAUAAACGUCUGUUGUUUAAGCAGCCCUGUGUGUUGUAUUUGCUAUGGUAGCCAAGUUAAGACAACUUGCAUUAUGGGGACUUAAAGAUUUAAUGUCCUGGGAGGAGGGGGCUGCACCAGGGUCCCUCUGCAUGUGAGCUGCUCUGCAUGCAGGAGCUCCAGGGAGGCCAGUUGCA